RNAcentral lists this non-coding RNA (28 nucleotides) under Mus musculus (house mouse). Lineage: Eukaryota; Metazoa; Chordata; Mammalia; Rodentia; Muridae. The record is from RNAcentral.
UAAUGAACUAUUUUGGAGACCUAUGUGA